This 600-nucleotide ribosomal RNA is filed under the name uncultured bacterium. RNAcentral's name for it is "bacterial SSU rRNA". It matches the Rfam family "Bacterial small subunit ribosomal RNA", at positions 89 to 662 of the family's 1533-position model. The record is from RNAcentral.
GCGUAGUGCGCGCACGGGUGCGUUAACGCGUUAGCACUACUAUAACUGGGGAACAACCCCGAGAAAUCGGGGCUAAUACCGAUAACAUCAUGAAGUGGCAUCACUUUAUGAUCAAACCUCAGGGGGUUAUAGAUGGGCAUGCGUGACAUUAGCUCAGUUGGUGAGGUAACGGUCACCAAGCUACGAUGUCUAGGGGUCUGAGAGGAUGAUCCCCCACACUGGUACUGAGACACGGACCAGACUCCUACGGGAGGCAGCAGUAAGGAAUAUUGGACAAUUGGGCGCAAAGCCCUUGGAUUCCCCAGGCCCCAUUGGCCGGCGUGGCAGGGAAUGAAGUGUGUUCAUUGCAUCGUAAAACUGCUUUUAUACAAGAAUAAACUCCUUCACCGUGUGCAAAGGAUUCGAAUGUACUGUAAGAAUAAAGCAAUCGGUAACUUCGUUGCCAGCAGCCGCGGUAAUACGAAGGAUGCAAGCGUUAUCCGGAUUUAUUGGGGUUUAAAAGGGUGCGUAAGGACGGUUUUUAAAGUACAGUGGGUGAAAGCCCGAGUUAAUUCGGAAAUGGCCAUGANAUGAUAAGAUUUGANUACCUUUGAAGUGGGC